Molecule: transfer RNA, 65 nt
Filed under: Alectorobius puertoricensis
Lineage: Eukaryota; Metazoa; Arthropoda; Arachnida; Ixodida; Argasidae
Description: tRNA-Phe
Source: RNAcentral
GUUUCUAUAGUUUAAAUAAAAAAUAUGAUAGUGAAAAUAUCAAGAUAUAAUAUUAUUUAGAAAUA